AGGGCACCACCAGGAGUGGAGCCUGCGGCUUAAUUUGACUCAACACGGGAAAACUCACCCGGCCCGGACACCGUAAGGAUUGACAGACUGAGAGCUCUUUCUUAAUUCGGUGGGUGGUGGUGCAUGGCCGUUCUUAGUUGGUGGAGCGAUUUGUCUGGUUAAUUCCGAUAACGAACGAGACUCUGGCCUAUUAAAUAGACGGUAUAUCGAAAAGUAUAUCGCACUUCUUAGAGGGACAAGCGGCGUCUAGCCGCAUGAAAUAGAGCAAUAACAGGUCUGUGAUGCCCUUAGAUGUCCGGGGCUGCACGCGCGCUACACUGAAAGAAUCAGAGUGCGCUUUGCCUAGUUCGGAAGAACUGGGUAACCCAAGUAAAUUCUUUCGUGCUUGGGAUAGGGAAUUGCAAUUAUUUCCCUUAAACGAGGAAUUCCCAGUAAAUGCGGGUCAUAAGCUCGCGUUGAUUACGUCCCUGCCCUUUGUACACACCGCCCGUCGCUACUACUGAUUGGAUGACUUAGUGA
RNAcentral lists this ribosomal RNA (519 nucleotides) under uncultured eukaryote. RNAcentral's name for it is "SSU rRNA". It matches the Rfam family "Eukaryotic small subunit ribosomal RNA", at positions 1161 to 1704 of the family's 1831-position model. The record is from RNAcentral.